CCUACGGGAGGCAGCAGUGAGGAAUAUUGGUCAAUGGGCGCGAGCCUGAACCAGCCAAGUCGCGUGAAGGAUGACGGCCCUACGGGUUGUAAACUUCUUUUAUCAGGGAGUAAAGUGCGGCACGUGUGCCUUUUUGUAUGUACCUUAUGAAUAAGGAUCGGCUAACUCCGUGCCAGCAGCCGCGGUAAUACGGAGGAUCCGAGCGUUAUCCGGAUUUAUUGGGUUUAAAGGGGGCGUAGGCGGGAUGUUAAGUCAGUGGGAAAAGUUUGGGGCUCAACCCAGGCGUGCCAUUGAAACUGGCGGUCUUGAGUGCGGGAGAAGUAGGCGGAAUGCGUGGUGUAGCGGUGAAAUGCAUAGAUAUCACGCAGAACUCCGAUUGCGAAGGCAGCAUACUAGAGCGCAACUGACACUGAUGCUCGAAAGCGUGGGUAUCGAACAGGAUUAGAUACCCCAGUAGUC
This 459-nucleotide ribosomal RNA is filed under the name uncultured bacterium. Its description in RNAcentral is "partial 16S ribosomal RNA". It matches the Rfam family "Bacterial small subunit ribosomal RNA", at positions 338 to 795 of the family's 1533-position model. The record is from RNAcentral.